This 74-nucleotide transfer RNA is filed under the name Myotis brandtii (Brandt's bat). It matches the Rfam family "tRNA". From Rfam's summary of the family: Transfer RNA (tRNA) molecules are approximately 80 nucleotides in length. Their secondary structure includes four short double-helical elements and three loops (D, anti-codon, and T loops). Lineage: Eukaryota; Metazoa; Chordata; Mammalia; Chiroptera; Vespertilionidae. The record is from Rfam by way of RNAcentral.
GCCAGUUUGGCUCAGUGGACAGAGCGUCAGCCCAUGGGCUGAAGGGUUCUGGGUUCAAUUCCAGUCAAAGGGCA